This 486-nucleotide ribosomal RNA is filed under the name uncultured bacterium. RNAcentral describes it as "partial 16S ribosomal RNA". It matches the Rfam family "Bacterial small subunit ribosomal RNA", at positions 28 to 507 of the family's 1533-position model. The record is from RNAcentral.
GAUGAACGCUGGCGGCGUGCCUAAUACAUGCAAGUCGAACGCUGGAAAUCUAGCUUGCUAGAUUGAAGGAGUGGCGAACGGGUGAGUAAUACAUAAGCAACCUACCCACGAAGACUGGGAUAAUCUCUGGAAACGGGGACUAAUACCGGAUAGGUAAUCGGAAGGCAUCUUCUGAUUAUUAAAGGUUAAAAACACUGGUGGAUGGGCUUAUGGCGCAUUAGUUAGUUGGUGAGGUAACGGCCCACCAAGACGAUGAUGCGUAGCCGGCCUGAGAGGGUGAACGGCCACAUUGGGACUGAGACACGGCCCAGACUCCUACGGGAGGCAGCAGUAGGGAAUUUUCGGCAAUGGGGGAAACCCUGACCGAGCAACGCCGCGUGAGUGAUGACGGCCUUCGGGUUGUAAAGCUCUGUUGUAAGGGAAGAACGGUAGAUAGAGAAUAUCUAAAUGGCGGUACCUUACCAGAAAGCCACGGCUAACUACGUG